GGUAAAAUACUCUGAAACCUGAUGUUUUAAACCUGUCAUAUUGUUUAUCAGGAUUUUUAUGUGCAUUAUUUUGUUGCAUCUUCAACCUUUGAUUGAUGGUAUGCACAGUUGUGUAAUGAGCAUCGAGUAGAAAAAUAGAGCAAACAGAAACAUGUAAUUUAUGAUUAAAUGAUGUCACUUGCUAAAGUGAGUUCCAUGAAGUGCGCACUAUUUGCAACAUGUUAUAUUUUUCACCACUUGGUGGUGUGUGCUUUCACGCAUGCUUGAAUGAAACUUCCUAAGUAGCAGUUGCUAAUUUUCUUUUAUCUUUUUGGCGAGUGUGCCAUAUUGAAUUAACUAACUAGGAUUUUUACUUGUCAUACAGCCAAAU
Molecule: unclassified non-coding RNA, 370 nt
Filed under: Hevea brasiliensis (rubber tree)
Lineage: Eukaryota; Viridiplantae; Streptophyta; Magnoliopsida; Malpighiales; Euphorbiaceae
Source: RNAcentral